Molecule: ribosomal RNA, 253 nt
Filed under: uncultured prokaryote
Description: partial 16S ribosomal RNA
Rfam family: Bacterial small subunit ribosomal RNA
Source: RNAcentral
UACGUAGGGGGCAAGCGUUGUCCGGAAUCAUUGGGCGUAAAGCGCGUGUAGGCGGUUACGUAAGUCUGCUGUGAAAGUCGGAGGCUCAACCUUCGAAAGCCGGUGGAUACUGCGUGACUUGAGUACGGAAGAGGAGAGUGGAAUUCCUGGUGUAGCGGUGAAAUGCGCAGAUAUCAGGAGGAACACCAACGGCGAAGGCAGCUCUCUGGGACGGUACUGACGCUGAGACGCGAAAGCGUGGGGAGCGAACAGG